CCUACGGGAGGCAGCAGUAGGGAAUCUUCCGCAAUGGACGAAAGUCUGACGGAGCAACGCCGCGUGAGUGAAGAAGGUUUUCGGAUCGUAAAGCUCUGUUGCCAGGGAAGAACGUCUUCAUGGAAGUAACUGCCAGUGAGUCAGUGACGGUACCUGAGAAGAAAGCCCCGGCUAACUACGUGCCAGCAGCCGCGGUAAUACGUAGGGGGCAAGCGUUGUCCGGAAUUAUUGGGCGUAAAGCGCGCGCAGGCGGCUGUUUAAGUCUGGUGUUUAAUCCUGGGGCUCAACUCCGGGUCGCACUGGAAACUGGAUGGCUUGAGUGCAGAAGAGGAGAGUGGAAUUCCACGUGUAGCGGUGAAAUGCGUAGAGAUGUGGAGGAACACCAGUGGCGAAGGCGACUCUCUGGGCUGUAACUGACGCUGAGGCGCGAAAGCGUGGGGAGCAAACAGGAUUAGAUACCCUGGUAGUCCACGCCGUAAACGAUGAGUGCUAGGUGUUAGGGGUUUCGAUACCCUUGGUGCCGAAGUAAACACAUUAAGCACUCCGCCUGGGGAGUACGGUCGCAAGACUGAAACUCAAAGGAAUUGACGGGGACCCAGCAUCAAGCAGUGCGAGUAUGUGGUUUAAUUCGAAGCAACGCGAAGAACCUUAC
This 652-nucleotide ribosomal RNA is filed under the name bacterium HN3-10-13. RNAcentral describes it as "bacterial SSU rRNA". It matches the Rfam family "Bacterial small subunit ribosomal RNA", at positions 338 to 974 of the family's 1533-position model. The record is from RNAcentral.